ACGAAACAACGGCUGCCGACCUCCGCGUCUCUCGGCAGAUUUUUCUGCAAGCUGACGAAUGCACGUUCGUGCACUCGUACCAACACUCUCUUCACUGGCGAUCGUUGCGGUGGUUACGCAGUUGACAAGUGCUGCAUAGGCUCACAGGCUGCAGCGUGCGCCAUUUUCUUUCCUCGUGAACGUGCGUGCUUUUCCGAAGCUUGUUCGUGUUUCUCGAUGGUUCUGGAGGCCGUGGGACCAUUGUUAACAAGUUUGCUUUCGAAGCCUCGAACUAUUGAUUCUGCGGUCGCUUCCCAGAGUGACGGGCUUCGAGAUUGAUGACCCGCUUGUUAUUGGACACCUCAAUAAUGGACCGCAACGUGACCUUACCACAGAAAAAAGGAUCUUUAGUGGCCGUUUCUCUACGCACGUCGAAAACAUCCCAUUUGAUUUUUCUAAGAUACAGAAUGUUGUCCAGAAUCGCCAGAUCUUGAUGUCACCCAUGCAAACGAGUCUUCUGGCGUCAAAAGACUGAGGCGAAGGCUCCUUAAACUGCCAAGUGAACCCCGUAGGAACACAGUUAUCGACCUAAGCUCCGGCAACAGAACCAACUACUACUACAAUGAGCUCCACAGGUCAAGUAGCUACGUCAGCACUGACGUUUCGUGACACUAAUUCCGUAGUUUUUCUAAGUAUGUCAAAGGAUAGCAUCCAGGUGGCAUCACUACAGCUGUACCAUUAGUAUCAUCUUGACAAACCGCUUACGUAAAGCGACAAUUUCUCUUUCUUGCACAUGUUUUUCUGAGUUAACAAUUGACACUUCGCACGUGAGCGAGAUUAAUAACUGAUCAAACCUAAUACUGCGUGUGAAUACCUGUUUUACUUGUUACUGAUUCUAGAUCUUGAGUUUAUUCCCAAUGUAUUGAUGUUGUUGGUACAAAAAUUUCAUUCCGCAUUGCUAUGCACUAUGGCUUAUGUUUUGUGUGUUGUUUGGGAUGGCCUUGUAUUAUCUACAUAAACUGCACUUGUAUUCACGUAACCAUGUGCUAGAAAGUGUUCUGUGAAAUAAAUUGUUGAAAAUA
Long non-coding RNA from Rhipicephalus microplus (southern cattle tick), 1061 nucleotides. NCBI's taxonomy places the organism in Eukaryota, Metazoa, Arthropoda, Arachnida, Ixodida, Ixodidae. The record is from RefSeq and is a predicted model, not a curated record.